Molecule: small RNA, 40 nt
Filed under: Plasmodium falciparum 3D7
Lineage: Eukaryota; Apicomplexa; Aconoidasida; Haemosporida; Plasmodiidae
Description: Pfa-starR6419
Source: RNAcentral
AUAUCAGUGAAUGUAAGACGUUAGUUAGUUACCAUAAGAC